Molecule: long non-coding RNA, 675 nt
Organism: Zophobas morio
Lineage: Eukaryota; Metazoa; Arthropoda; Insecta; Coleoptera; Tenebrionidae
Exons: 5
Source: RefSeq, a predicted model, not a curated record
UUUUUUAAUUCUUUUAUACUUCUCUCCUUUUAUUACAGCAAUUCACACCCCUCCAAGCUCUCUCGUCAUUCUUAAGAGCCCUCCCAGGCCUUCUAUUACCCUCGAACACAGUUAGUAAAGCGCGAUAACCCUGGCCGUAGCUCACUGUGUUUGGUCAUUCCUUUUAAGUGAAGGUACAAACUAGGAAUCUAAUAGCUUACUUUUCAUUACUCAGUUAAAGUCAGAGGAGGCAGGAGGAAUCAACCCUCGGAUGGACAGCUAGCAUGACGGAUUUGUCAUAAACGUACGAUCUUUAUCGGAAACUAUACUAGACCUAACCUAGAGACGCAAAGCAAUCAUCACUUUAAACAAGUGUAACACAGUGGCAUAGUAAUAACCAUUCUUCUAAAGAACUUAAUCUGUAUUCCCCUCUUGAAAGAAGUCGAGGCAUAAGCGCCCACUAGCGUUUCUUCCUAAAAGAAUAUUAUGACUGCUCCGAGGAAGGGUACGAAACAGUGUAGAAAUAUCAGAUCUAGACCCGCCAUUUGGCCCAGAGUGGCGAAAAACAGCUUAAAACUACCACCAGGAGAGGCGAGUUCGAGAGCUAAGGAGACACAGGAAUAAUUGAUUUUACAGGCCGGGAGCCCUUGAGAAUAAAUAUGAAACAAUAUGUUAUAUAUUAUAACAAUAAUAUAC